GAUGAACGCUGGCGGCGUGCCUAAUACAUGCAAGUCGAGCGAACAGACGAGGAGCUUGCUCCUCUCACGUUAGCGGCGGACGGGAGAGUAACACGUGUAUAACCUACCUAUAAGACUGGGAUAACUUCGGGAAACCGGCGCUAAUCCCGUAUAAUCUAUUGCAGCGCAUUGUUCAUUAGUGAAAGUCGGUUUUUCUGGCACUUAUAGCUGGAUCCGCGCCGCAUUAGCUAGUUGGGAAGGUAACGGCUUACCAAGGCUACCAUGCGUAGCCGACCUGAGAGGGUGAUCGGCCACCCUGGAACGUGGACAGGGUCCAGGCUCCUACGGGAGGCAGCAGUAGGGAAUCUUCCGCAAUGGGCGAAAGCCUUACGGAGCAACGCCGCGUGAGUGAUGAAGGUCUUCGGAUCGUAAAACUCUGUUAUUGGGGAAGAACAAAUGUGUAAGUAAAUAUGCACGUCUUGACGGUACCUAAUCAGAAAGCCACGGCUAACUACGUG
This 497-nucleotide ribosomal RNA is filed under the name uncultured bacterium. RNAcentral describes it as "partial 16S ribosomal RNA". It matches the Rfam family "Bacterial small subunit ribosomal RNA", at positions 28 to 507 of the family's 1533-position model. The record is from RNAcentral.